GCCGGGAGCCGGUCACUAUGCCAGCUCAGCCAGGGCCGCGGGGAGCAGGGGCGCCUGGCCCGGGGGCAAGGUCAUCGCCCUAUAGCACCGUGCCACGGGGAUCCACCCAGGGUACGUCUACAUGGGGGCACGUAGGGAAGUGACUCUGAAUUUACUGAGCUAUAGGUUAGGUCUAUGUAAGUGGUCUUGCGUUUUGGGCUUGUCUACAGUGCCGGAUUGGCACGCAGUGAUCGAUCCAGCGGGGUUGAUAAAUCGACCGCUGAGCGCUCUCCAGUACUCCACCAGAACGAGAAGCACAAGCGGAGUCGAGGGGAGAGUGUCAGCUGUCGACUUACUGCAGUGAAGAGUGCACAAUACCCUACGCUGACAGUACAAUGGAAACAAGCACUCCUGGUGAGAUCGCGCACCGCUGACACUAGGAGCCAAGCGUGCACACACAAGCAAUUUAAUGGCUGAGGUGGCUAUAUGUCAAUCGCCUAGGAGCUUCAGACAUGAUCCAGGACCCAUCGCUUUAGAUGCUGUACGUACACAGAACAAAAAGCUGGUUCUUGCCCAGCAAACUGACAAUCUAAGUGUAAGACCCGAGACAACAACAUACGGAUACAGACAGACAGGGAGCACAAGGAAACUACGCAACAGUGUUGGUUCCCAGGAUGGGCCGUGGUCUCAACACACCAGCAGCCUAACCAUUGACAAACUAGUUUUGCAGGCAUCAUGUCAAAGCAGAGCAUCAUGUCAAAGAACGGAUCGCUGGCCCAAGCCACCCUCCACUCAGCAUAUGGCCCCCUACGGCUCACUAAGCCAACCCAGCCAAGCCAGGAGAGGGCAGUUUUGUUCCCUUCAAUACCACUAGUUGCUAUGUUUCAAUGACUGAUAGAGCAGCUUUCUCUGUGGCAUCGUAAUAUGCUCUCUGGGCUAAAAUCCUUUUCCUAGAGCCCUGACCUAGAACUGGGCCUGGUGCUAGGGAAAUGCCGUGAUGAAGGAAUGCUACUGCUAGGCUGUGGAAUCACUCUACGACUGCUACUCCCAUCUAAUGGUCUUAGAGCACACACCCCACCAUGCUUGGUGGAGAAAGUGCCAGGGGUUAAAGCAAAAAGGAGCAGGAGAAAGCCCAGUUCUCCAUCCUUUCCUAAAAGCAGAGAGAGCGCCAGGGCCGGCUUUAGGCCAAUUCCACCAAUUCCCCCGAAUCGGGCCCCGCGCUUAAGAGGGCCCCGCGCCCAGUGGCAGGGCCACCCAGAGUGGGGGGCAAGUGGCAGAGAAUCCCUUCCCUGGCUAGAGGCACCUUUUUAAUUUUUACUCACCCGGCGGCGCUGUCUUUGGCAGCGGGUCCUUCACUCGCUCCGGGUCUUUGGUGGCACUUUGGCGGCGGGUCCUUCAGUGCCGCUGAAGACCCGGAGCGAGUGAAGGACCCGCCGCCAAAGACUAGGAGCGCGGCCCGGUGAGUACAAGCCCCACGUGUUUUUUUUAAUGUGGUUUUUUUUUUUUUUAGUCAUCCCUGUCGGGGCCCCGUCGAAACUGUACGAAUCGGGCCCCGCACUUCCUAAAGCCGGCCUUGGAGAGCGCUCCCCCCUUCACCCCUGGCUUUGGUAAGCAGUUCCCGCACAGCUCUGCAUCCUUGUUGAGUGAGAGUGCCCUUUCUUGCUCUAAUCUGAAUGAAUAACUAGAGGAUCCAAACCAUGCCCUCACUGAUUACACUGGUCUACAAUUUUUGAGAAGACGUCUGCUUCAGAGAUCAAAUGUGCUAUUUAUUAUGUAUUUUGAUAUGCUGAAUUGAAAUAUGACAAUUAAAACAACUGAUUGGCUACUGUUUCUAAGAUA
This is a long non-coding RNA of Malaclemys terrapin pileata, 1818 nucleotides long. RefSeq lists it as uncharacterized. The transcript has 3 exons. The record is from RefSeq and is a predicted model, not a curated record. NCBI's taxonomy places the organism in Eukaryota, Metazoa, Chordata, Testudines, Emydidae.